AUGGACCAUGUCACGCCGUCAGGUGGAACAGUUCAGAAUGCCAUUGCAUCAUCCAAGCUCUUCCCUGGAACGAAUGUAAGGUUCACUUCAGGUCUCUUGAGCCUCAUUUACUGCACUAGCAAUGGACUUGGCAUAGUUCCCAGAGCUCAGUUGGGGCUUGGAAAACCCUGAGAUUGCAUGAAGCAAGAGGUCCAGUGAGCACGGUUUGGAGACCUCCUUGAGGACACAAGACAAAGAGACAGCAUGUCUGUCCUUCAAUAUUGGGUAGAUGGAAGCAUCUAUUUUUCUUUAGUCGGAGUUCUUGUCUUCAAUUUUAAUCUGUAUUUUUAUUCUCCCAUGAAGAAUGGACUGAUGGUCAGUGUAGAACAUGUGAAAAUUUGAGCAUAUCCUAUAUCAAUAAUUAGUUUUGAAACUUGAAAUCAUAUUGUAGUAGAUAAAUCUGGAAUAAUAUUGCAAAAUAUGUGAGUUUGGAAGGAGAAGGUGAUUGAUGCUCACUCACAGUGUGGUAUUACGGAUAUCCUAUCAACUCCCACUUGCGUUACUGCUUUUAUGAGUUGAAUACAGUCAGAGAGAAAACCCUACACGUAGAUUGCAGAAUGUGAGGCUCUUAUCCAGGUCCAAAUUUCCCUCUCAAAAUAGCAGAAGAAAAUAACUUUUAUCUUGAAGAGGGUGAGUAGAGAAUAUUCUAAUGUCUUCUUCUACAUACUCUUGAAAUAGCCUGGACAGAACCAAGCACUUGCAGAAGUCGUCAUAAGAGGUCAGUAAAAUAAAGCUACAUUUAAAAAACA
Molecule: long non-coding RNA, 788 nt
Filed under: Bos indicus x Bos taurus (hybrid cattle)
Lineage: Eukaryota; Metazoa; Chordata; Mammalia; Artiodactyla; Bovidae
Description: lncRNA (ENSBIXG00005027527.1)
Source: RNAcentral